UAAAGAUUCAUCGCUGAUAGAUAGGCAUGCGUUCCAUUAGGCAGUUGGCGGGGUAACGGCCCACCAAACCGACGAUGGAUAGGGGUUCUGAGAGGAAGGUCCCCCACAUUGGUACUGAGACACGGACCAAACUCCUACGAGAGGCAGCAGUGAGGAAUAUUGGUCAAUGGGCGUAAGCCUGAACCAGCCAAGUCGCGUGAGGGAUGAAGGUUCUAUGGAUCGUAAACCUCUUUUAUAAGGGAAUAAAGUGCGGGACGUGUCCCGUUUUGUAUGUACCUUAUGAAUAAGGAUCGGCUAACUCCGUGCCAGCAGCCGCGGUAAUACGGAGGAUCCGAGCGUCAUCCGGAUUUAUUGGGUUUAAAGGGUGCGUAGGCGGCCUUUUAAGUCAGCGGUGAAAGUCUGUGGCUCAACCAUAGAAUUGCCGUUGAAACUGGGAGGCUUGAGUAUGUUUGAGGCAGGCGGAAUGCGUGGUGUAGCGGUGAAAUGCUUAGAUAUCACGCAGAACCCCGAUUGCGAAGGCAGCCUGCCAAGCCAUGACUGACGCUGAUGCACGAAAGCGUGGGGAUCAAACAGGAUUAGAUACCCUGGUAGUCCACGCAGUAA
RNAcentral lists this ribosomal RNA (603 nucleotides) under uncultured bacterium. Its description in RNAcentral is "bacterial SSU rRNA". It matches the Rfam family "Bacterial small subunit ribosomal RNA", at positions 202 to 805 of the family's 1533-position model. The record is from RNAcentral.